UGCGGGACGCCGAAGUCGGGUCUCGCGAUGAACCACUCGCUGCAAUUCAGGAGACUACCCAUGAGC
This 66-nucleotide small RNA is filed under the name Pseudomonas taeanensis MS-3. RNAcentral describes it as "Repression of heat shock gene expression (ROSE) element". It matches the Rfam family "Repression of heat shock gene expression (ROSE) element". The record is from Rfam by way of RNAcentral. Lineage: Bacteria; Pseudomonadati; Pseudomonadota; Gammaproteobacteria; Pseudomonadales; Pseudomonadaceae.